UGAGUCUCUUAGAGGAGGGUAGAAUUCCAGGUGUAGCGGUGAAAUGCGUAGAGAUCUGGAGGAAUACCGGUGGCGAAGGCGGCCCCCUGGACCAAAACUGACGCUCAGGUGCGAAAGCGUGGGGAGCAAACAGGAUUACAUACCCUGGUAGUCCACGCCGUAAACGAUGUCUACUUGCAGGUUGUGCCCUUGAUGCCCUCCUUCCUGAGCUAACGCGUUUAGUCGACCCCCAGGGGAGUUCCGCGGCAAGGCCGGAGACUCUUAUGAAUGACGGG
Molecule: ribosomal RNA, 275 nt
Filed under: Pantoea dispersa
Lineage: Bacteria; Pseudomonadati; Pseudomonadota; Gammaproteobacteria; Enterobacterales; Erwiniaceae
Description: partial 16S ribosomal RNA
Rfam family: Bacterial small subunit ribosomal RNA
Source: RNAcentral